UUAAUCAAAGCUAGUGGUUUGUGGAGCUAAUUUAGCCCAGUGUUACUGUAUACAGUGUUACUCCAGCUCAAGCUUAAGAAAGCUUCAUCAGGUUGUUUGCCAUGUGGGGAGGGAGUAGACAAGGUCUUGGUAAUAAGGUUCUUUAACCUCACCGGCGGAUCUGCUCCACUUAAUGACUGUAAUUAAAGGGCUCUGCUCCACAGACGGAUCAAUGACGUGCUACGAGCACAGACGUAGCAUCGACGUAGCUAUAACACAAGGAACCGACCACAGACAUGAGGUAAGAACUUUUAAACCUGGAUGCAUUUAAGGCAAGCAUGGGCUAUGGUGGCUUGUCAACAUUUAGGCUUCGUAAGAGAACCAUGCGUCUUUGAUUCUCUGUCUCUGUAGUAUUUUUUCAUAACAUUUCCUUAAGCUUGAGGCUGAGAAGUGCAAAUGUAGUUAGUCUUAAAGAGAAAUACACUGUAAAGUAGGUGUCACAGGACCGUAAUAAAUUUGGCAAGACAUGCAAAUUAUGUGCAUGACCAUCACAUGGCUGACUAGCUGUACACAAGCUAGAAAGGGAUGUAUGAGAGGAGAGAAAAAGGUGGUCACAGCAGUUUGGGUUUUGCAGACACUGGCACAAAAUAACAGGCAACUUCUGUGUUUUGAAAGAGGGAACUAAAAACUGUCCAGCUUUGAGGCCCAGAUGAGAAAGAAAAGAAUAAUGCAUGUCAUCAUAGCUGCAUGAAUAAGGAACUGAUGCUGGGGGGCAAAUGCAGGCACCCCAGACAUAGAGCUAUGAUGACACCUCCACAGAUAUGCAUUUCAGAAGACAGCUCUGAGCCUUGGGCAGGUUUCAAGCACCAGGAUUAAUAUCCACACCGACCAUAGACACAUGGUGGAAGAAAAGUCUGUGGAGAGAGUAGAAAAACCGACUCGACUGAAAAUAAGUUGUGGAGCACGAGGUGUUGUGUGAAGUCUACUCUGUUGUUUUGCCGAAUUUGGGAACUAGAAAGUAUGUUAUGAUUGCAGCACUUGGGACUUCCACAGUGUUCUGUAACUAAGGCCAUGGUUGGCUGAUUAGACAUAGCUGACAUUCCUACAGAUCACCACCAAACCACAGAGAGUUUUGGUCCAACACAACAUUCCAACUCAAAAAGGGCAAUAACAAGGUAAAGUUACACUGAGUCAUGCUUCAGGUCUUCAUGAGUCAGCUUUGUUGAUAAAAGAACAACAACAUAGGGCUCAGCACCAGACUAAAUUAAAUUCCAAUUACCGUCACAAUCUCCCAUGCCAAUUUUGUCUUUUGAUAUCAGUUCCUCUUCCUUAUACUCUGUGAUGCCCUGCUAAUUUGAAACUGUUGCCACACACUGUUUUACACACUUUUACAAAACUUAUCUUCUAAAAAUGAUUCAGAAAGUCCCACCUCACACUUCAAAGGCCAUGCUUCCAAAUAUCGCCCACCAAGGUUGUAUUUUUGGCAGUGUUACUACUGCUACAAAGUCUACGACCUGAGCAUAACAGUCAGUCAAUGUACAGAUGAUAUCAACAGGGUCUGUGGCAUUUAACUAGAUCCUCGGUGACUUUAACAAUCGCGGUAAGGACACAUUUUAAUAGGUCCCUUCUGGAUCAUAGGCCGCUGAAAGGCCAUGACAGCCUCCUAAUUUAACUGGGACAAGGACAUGAUGAUGACAAAUAAAAUAUUUCAUUUUUAUAAUAGGAUUUCCCUGUAAUCUUAUAGGGGCCUGUUAAACUGGGGUGGGGGGGGGAUAUUUUAUUAUCAAAAUCUGAAUUUAGACUAUUACAACACCCAAGCCGCCCAUUUACACUGCUAACACUUUCAUCCACAUCAUUCCAUUUAUCAAUUUUAGAUGUAAUUUAAAACACACCAUAGUCAGUAAUAGGUUUUUUCUUAAGUGACGAGCACAUUUUUUCACCAUCACAAAUUCUCUUAGUUUGAUUCAAGAUUGAAAGAGACAACCAAAGAGACAUACACCCAGCCUCCAGCAGUGCUGCCAACGCCAUGUCCACUUCCAGCUGCCAGUAAAGUGCAGCAGAUGCCAGUGAUAAUAGGGACAGCAUAUGGUUCCCCGAAUAUUGGUAUUGCUAAAGUUAUUUUUGACCAUGUUCUGCCAACCAUUUUUAUACUAGCAAUUCCAAAUGUUAUUCAUUGUACUGUCACAAUAAAAUAUGACAUAACAUAAAACAUAUUGUCUCCUGUCUUCUGUUUCCUUUUUAACAAUAUUCCUGCAUGGGAAUAUAUCAACAAAUACUAUUCUUACAUCAACUUGAUUGAUUGAUACAGACCACGAUUUACAUCUCUCUUUUUUUGUAUUUUAUUAACAAAACUAGAUUUUGCACUAUUUCAUCCAGUUUACACAUGUGGGUCAAAAAUUACCUUUUUUCAAAGAAGGAUUUUGAAUGAAAUGACUGCACAUAGUAACAAUAAUUUCCUUCAUAUAAUCAGCCAAUCACUGCUUUUUCUUCAUGCUUGGUUAUGUUGCCAUCAAAUUGAAGUUCAGAGCUAUGAAUUGUCCGUGACGUGGACGGCUUCAUGAUAGGUGGUAUGUCUGUCUUCAGGUUCUUCUCCGGCAGUGACUGGGUCUGAGUUCUCUUCAGAAGACACAAGCAAGUCCUCUACGUCAUCAGAAGCAUCUUCAUCAUUGUGGAGAACAUGUUGACUCACAGCAACUCUCAAGCACACUCAAAGCACACAGUAAUGUGCAUUAAAAGGGUUAACGCAGACAAAUGUGGGCAAACAUUUUGACUUGCGAGCCACAGUUAUGCUAAAAUUUAACAAGGGGGCCAGUGAGGGGCAGAUAGAUGGAGCGUUCAUGUAAACUAAGAUAAAUGACGUAAAAAUCAUGCAUAAAGGCUAAAAUGCUAAAAAUCUUUUUCUACACCAUCUAUUGUGGAAACAUGGGUAUUACAGAGACAAGGCAGAAGUAUAAUGAUAAUUUGGAAAAGAUUGGCGUUCCGGAUUAAAAAGCUGAACGGGCCGCAUCAGGCCCCCGGGCCUUAGUUUGCCCGUGUCUGGAUUAAUGAGUCAUCUUCAACUUUUCUGCCUUCAGGUUUUUGUGACCUUCAGCUCCAGCUGCUGCCCAUGAACAGACUCUUCAGGCAUCUACCUCUCAGCUGGCCUGGCUCACUUUUACUAUUUGAUAAUUAAUCACCCAGUGUAAGUGGGGAAAAAAGAAGGGCUAGUGUGUCAUGGAAAAUACCCAAUUAAAGUCAACUUAGGAGAUGUCAAACUAACUGUAGAGGUGAUAAUUAAAAACGAUCUUGGCAAGAGGAAAUAGGUCAGCUUGGGGUUUAACUGUAAAUUUACUCACAAUGAUAAAAAUGAAAUAUCCCCUGUGGUUUCCAGGCUGGGACUACAUGUCACUCAACAUUGAAUAAGGGUGUGUACACACAUACUUGUAGUUGGUUUGCUUAUGUUGGUGCUAAAGCAUUACAGGUGUCAAUUUGUUUAUUUUGCUAAGAUAAUGUAAUAUUCUGAUCUGCUGCAGUAAAAGCCAGGGCUUUCUUCUUGCUUUGUUCCAAAUAUAAAAUAGUAACCAAAAUAAUCAUGUCCAGACAAAAACCAUUAUAUUAUUCCCUUGUAAUGACUGAAAACAAACUGGUAAAGUUUCAAAAACCUCCUUGAACCACUACCACCCACAGAGUCGCUGCAUGGUCUGUAAAAGUCCUUGCUUGCAAGUUGAGGAUUGAUAUCUUCUGCCUGGAGUUGGGCUUCAAUGAAUAAACUGCUUCACAGAUUUGUCACCGAACCUGCUGCGUAGUGAAGGGAUAUUUUAUUCUGCUGUUACUUCAUUCCCAGAAGACAUUUCCUUAAUGCACUGGCCUUAAUGUACCUGUCUGUCUCUUGUCUGCAUUCCAAAUCAAUCCCAUUCACAUCAUUGUGUGUGCCACAAAAAUGUCACUUUUUCUACUCCUGGUCCACUUCCCAUUUUCCAGUGGAAAACACUGAGGCCUGUGAGAAGUUAGAGAACUACAGAUAUUCUUUUUGAACAGCAUAAAACAUUUCUAAAUCAAAAACGCUAAAUACCUAAACCACUGCCAAAUUACCUUUACUUAAUAAAAAAAUAGGCACCUCUUUGUGUGUACGAGAGAUUGCCAGCAUGUCUUUUAUCAUGAAACAAGACUUAACAUCAAAUAUUACACUGAUUGAAGCAGGCUUGACCAAUUUGUGGGCUUAAAUAAACACAAUUCUGACAGAAGUAUGUGCCAGACAAAAUUACCAAAGCAAAAAACAGAACGUGUUCUCUGCUCUAUUCUCCUGCCAAAAGGAGACUUAUGAAGAAAUCUGAACCUGGUUUCUUAAGGUGGGAUGAAGGUGACCUCUAAGUAGAACCAUCGGUGCUGAGAAAUUUCCAAAUACUAGUAUGGCAUCAGGGUUAGGGUUAGGAAAAUCACAUCUGGAUAAGAGUUUUUUCUGAAGAAGUAGGUCUUGUUGACAGUGAUCAGAUAGCAUCAAAAGCCUUGGUGAUAUUUGUGUCUGUGUCAGUCUGUCAGUUCCGCUGCCAUGGAAAAGUAGGUGAGGGAAGGGAGAACGGGGCCGUGUCUGUAUUGUGUAUCCAUCACCGGUGUUCAGUCCUUAGCUAUGCCACCCUCAAGGCUAAUGACAGCCAACACCACUGUUGUUGCCCAAAUCCCUCUGUAACAGUACUGGCCAUCAUGUUUUCCUCUGGGAUACGGACAUCACUAAUCCCUGUGCAUCACAUCAACAAUCUGCCUCGACCAGGUUUUUAAUAUGGGGAUGCCUCAGUUCUAAUACAUAACACCCUGCCCAUAACUUAUCAACUGAGCAAUUAAGGCAGAUCUCCUACCACGUGAAUCAUUUAUGCCUUUUGGGGUGGGGGCAUGUUUACAAUAUUCAUCGUGUUCCUCUUACUCAAGCUUGAAGAAUGCAAGUGUUUAACGAUAGUUAAAGGUGGAGAGAAGGGUGAAAGAGUCUACAGCAGCAGCCUGAAAAAGAAAGUAAGUCCAAUUGCAAUGUGGUCUGAAAUGAACAUGGAUUGAAAGCCACGAUACCAUUAAGUCCUGAGAUACAUUUGACCACAAUGUCUCAAUAUAAGGUAUGGAGACAUGCAGACAGCACAGGUUAAAACGUGAAGAAUGGUGAACAAAAAGCUGUUAUGGUUGGCUGAUGCCAAGAAGGAGACAGUGAAAGGCUGGUAUCUUCUGUCCCGAGACUCAUGGCAUAUCCUGCCAGUGGGGGGCGGGGAUGAAAAUUAGCAUGAUAACACCUCAUGGGUCUGUCUGUUAUACAUUAGCUUUGUUAUCUCUGGUGAAAAGGAGAAGGAAGAGUGUUGAGUGGUACAGGUGACAAGUGUUUGCUGUGUGAAGUGCAAACAACGCAUUAGAGCAACACUGUGAGGGUGACAAAUAAAAAGGCAAAGGUAAAAAAAAAAAAGAAAAGGGAACAGUCCAGGCCAAGGUCAUAAAGUCCAAUGUCACAGGAGGCAGCAGUAAACCACUGAAGAUAGAUAUAAAAUAUAAAAUAAAAUAUAAAAAUCAGGACAAAAAAAAAAACCAGAUUGGACAAAUAUCUAGCUGACACACCCUUAAUGUGUGGGACUAUUGUCCGUGAGAUUACGUCUAACCAAGAUAAGCAAAUGGCCUUUCCCAUGCGCCACACACCUUUAUGUGGUCAUCAAGUUUAACAUGUCCAUGCUGGAGAGCAGUGCUGUGAGUGAAUAAGUAAUUGUCCCAGUUUUCAAAGUGAAAAUAGGCCUGACAUAUAAAGACAAGACAAUUCCAUUGAAAAAUAAAAUAAAAGUGAAAGAGAGGAUAAAGUAAGUCACUUGAAAUGAACCAGUGGCACAUGCACUAUUCAUCUGUCGUAGGCUGUAGACAGGAGGCGCAGGAUUGUUGUUGCUCAUGAGGAUUAUGGUUUUAUUUUCAAAAUGAAAAUGACAGAAGUCAGUAAUUCACUGAAAAGGAAAUAACAGAGGGGGAUGGAUUCAAAUCCGUUUUUGACCUCAAAAAUAUUGCACUACUCUGAAAUGGAGUGCACGCUUCCAUUAGAUGACAUGGUUUGAAGCUAUUCUAGAAAAUGUGUGACACUAAAAAAAGGAUGGGAUGAACUCUGGCUUACCCAAAACAUGCAGGAGCUUCACAGCUGAGAGCUCACUGGCCAAUAACUCACUCUCUCAUUUUUCUGAGUUGGUCACAGGCUAUUUUACUGAAUCCAAAAAUACUCAUAGUAGCUCUCGCCACAGGUUUUUUUUUCUUUUCCUGUGGCCUAUAACUAUAAAGGAUAACAGUUUAUUAUGUACAUGUAUGCUGUGUUUGUUAUUCUUUUGCAUGGCAUUUGCAUUCUUCCUUAGGUUAACGUGUUAUAAAAGUAUUCAACAUCUUCAUGGAGGACUUAAAUCUAUAAUGUUCCCUAUUCCCUUUACAUGUCCUGAACAAACAUCUUGAAGUUUGGCAUCUUUGUCUCUGAAACAGUUGCAGAGAACAGAGGAAAAACAUUUAUCACCCCUCUCCUGUGGGCUGAUAAGGUGUCCCUAUUUAUUCAGAGUGGAAGAGAUAAACCUUGAAUGAAGCAUUGUGGGGCAUGGAGAGUGUGGAAGAGAAGAAGAAAGAGAGGGGUGUUGGAAAGAGGGAAACGCUCGGGGAGCAGCUUGGUUGAUAAUUGCCCAUGUGUUCGUGUGAGCAGAUGGCAUCUACUAAAAAACCAUCCCUGCUCAGUGAGGAGACUAGCGGAUGACCCCCUGUUCUGACCCCUACUUCCAGCCACUGUUGCUAUCACUGGCAGUAGCCUCUCUUGCCUCUUAAUCCAGCCUCACCCUGACACUGCAAUUUGUAAUUUUCUGGGAAUAAUCCCUUGGAGACAGAGCAUCCUAAAUACAGCAAGUCUGUGAACAAGUGGGCAGGAGAUGACAUGGUCAGCACAUAAAAGGAUGAUUCAGGGACACAAAAAAGGCAUUACAGUGGUCAGUUGAAGGCUGCGCCAGGGACCAAGAGAUACAGACUGACAGAACUGCACAGGAGAUUCAAGAGGGGCAUGAAUAGUGCUUCUGUCUCCUUGUUCUCCGAAGAAGAGACAGGACAGCAGAGGCAAUGGGGGGGAAAGUAAAACAAACAGGAAGCAAAGCUCACUACUACUUCUGUCUCCCCAGCUGCUGAUGUACAGCCCAGUGUCCAGAGGUCCUGUAGCUGUUUACGGGAAAGGCACUAUUCCUUUAACAAACGAUCCCAACAGUCAAUUCCUGGUGAGACGCGGCGCGGACAAGCGCUCAACAAAAGACUGGCUUUCUUGGUAUCUUUGCUCCACGCCCAGGUGCCGAGUCACAUGGUGUGCUCCAGGUGUGUGCGUUUCCAGGAGCCGUGGAUCAGUGGGCAGGGAGGGACACACCUGUGAGAUCCGUUCGAGCGUCGGCUCUGACUGACUGUCAUCAAAUUCCAGGGGGUUGUACUGAGAAGGAAGCGGGGCCACGGCGGGAGGAGCACAGAAGGAGAGCAGACUGGAGCGCAACCCGAGAGGGAGUAUUCCCCUCCCACUGCACUCUCACAGCCGCGGUGUGGAGACAACAAGCCGGGAGCAGCACAGGAAGAGUCGAGAAGUUGUGUUGUGGUUCCGACCACGCACCGAAAUGUGUUUCCCGAGGGCGGUGAUGGAGGAGCGGUGUGGCAGCAGUGGUGCGCACAGUGUGGAACGGACGCAGUGGAUUGAAGGGGCAGUCAGAGGGCUUUACAUGUCGACAUGUUCCCGUCCAACCCGCUGUACAUUAUAUGUACCGUUAUAUCAUACUGUCAUACCAUACUGUGGAGUAUAAAGUUGUGAGGAGAUCUUCAAAUAAAUAAGAUAAUAAAUAGAAUAGAACAGACAGUGAAAAGACUCAGAUUUUUUUUUGAAAGUUCUGUGCUCCACUCUAAUCAAAAUGUCACCAACAAAUGGACUUUCUUCAAUGACGAACAGUAGAACACGGUGUUUGUAAACGUCACAUUGUCAAUAUUCAGAAGAUGUUUUGUGCAAGACUCCAGUAAAUACCGAUGCAAACAGGAAAUUGAAUAAAUUGGGAAACAAAUAAAGUAGCUGUUAACAUGAACACAGACCUGUGUUUGACUCUAAUGUUAGCACAACUGUCCUCUGAGACGGCACGUGUUUGCCGACUCUCCUUAAUUGCUGCAGCUCAACAACAACAAUGCAUUCACAUAGUACACUAAGAGUCACAUGGAUAUACAGACAAUGUGAUAUUAAAAGCAGUGGCUGGUAUAGUGUAUAGUCAAUCAGGGUUUACUUGCAAAAUCCUGCUGGUUGCAUAAGACACUUGUCACCAAAGUAAUCCAAAAUGUCCCAGUUUGACACUGUGCCCACACAUGCACCACAAGAAGCAAAGAGCACCUUGAGAUUGUAGCUUGCAAAACUUUAUAUGAACACAAAUUAUUUUUAAUUUAUUUAUUUAUAUAUUUUUUGGCUUUGCUGGUAAAAUGACCUCUUUUCCUAUGACCGAUUGAAGCAAAGCCAAAAAAUGCUGAAGUUGUACAUCCAGAUUCCUUUCCCAUCAUAUUGAGCUCAACUACCAGCAUUAAAAUAUCUUGUUUUGUUGUAAAACAAAGCUGCUCAUGUCUCAUUCCCACAUGUCAUCAGCAGAUCUCAUGAUGAAUCAUAUCCAGCUGUGGUAUUUAAGACUAUAAAUUCCUACCCGAGUCGCGAGUCUUUAGUCACACCUUCCCACAAACAAUACACUGGACAUGACCUCACUGUCCAGGCAGUCACAGGCACUUGCAUUGUACCAAGAAGAAACAAAGAAAACUAUUUUGUUUACAUCCAGAAGGAGUCCCAUGUUUUUAUCAUUGUUGAUCACGUUAAGGUCACACGUUAUGACCUUAUUUGUUUGUUUAUGUUCAAUAGUAACAACUGAACAUUUAGUUUCUGUUCUUAUAAAUAUUGGCCAUAUCUGUCUAGGUAUUCCAUUUCGAUUGGCUGUUUCACCAUCUGGGAUGGCUCAGCAUUUUAUGCCGAGUUUCUCUUAAAAAAACCAAGUAUCGGAUAACACUGCAAUUUUUGAAGCCUAACUUUAUGACUGUGAGUUGUGGCUUGUUGUGUGGCAGAGUGUCAGUCCUUUUUUUAGUGAUUUAUGGGCAUGCAAAUGAGACUGUCUGUUUUGGGAGAUGUGCUGCUGUUGCCCAGUGGGCCCUGGAGCGAAGACUGGAGACAGUGUGGGAGUGAGUCAGUCUCUAACUGCUGACACAGGCGCAGGACUGGCAGGGAUUCUCAAAGGAAGAUUGGGAGAUGGCCUUCACAGGUCUUCACAUUGACUGAUGAGAUCAAGGAGAAAGUAGGCCAGGCCAGACAAGUGUCAAGCAAACAGACAUCUAGCAAUAGAACAGGAGAGACAAACAGUCCCUGAUCACAAACAGAGCGAGGAGAGUGGGAAUCGCAGGCUAGAGCCAGAGUGUUUUGGGUCUGAGUUCAAUAUGUCCAAACCUGUUGUCUGAAGAGUAAUGAUGCUGCUAAAUCCUGGAGUAUGGUGGACUGGAGGAUGCCAGCAGACAGAGCAGGCCAAGCCCAGCUCUCUAAAUUCACGAAAGGGGAAUAGAAGUUCACAUUGUCUGGCGAGAUAGUCCGACUGCGGUGACAUUUUGAUCAAUGUGCCUUUACCUUCCUGCAGCUCAUCUUUAUGUCGCUUGAAUUGUGAUGAUCUGUUAUCAUGCUGCUGUCAAACACAGCCAUUCAUCAUGUGGUGCCUUUCAGCCGGUCUAGGAUGUUUGAGUGUUAACAUACAACACAACCGUAUUUAUGGUGAAGCUCGUCCAUCGUGGACCUAUCAAAUUCAAGGUUCAUAGUUCAGAGUCUGUUGUUAUGUGGUUACACUGCCCUCUACAGGUUGCUCAAGAUUAUUCACAUCUAUUUGAUGCUUAAAAUAAACAUAUAAUAAAUUAACAAUAAACACACUUCUGCAAAGUCAUAUGUAUUGCAUUAAAAAUAACUGGAAUCCAAUGCUUUGGGUUCAACAGAUAUGAUAUACGGAUCAAAUUAAGUGAGAUAAAACCUUGGAAGCUAGUUGGCUUGUUUUCUCCUUCACUUCACAUGAUCCUAAUUGAUGUAUUUAUAUCUCUUUCAGAGAUACGUCUUUAGCAGAUUAGGCUUUGUUACUCAUACCCCAUUUGGUGCAUUACUUACACUGGUCGAUCUCACCCAGAGCAGAAUAAUUGUUUAAUUGCUGCAUUUAUUUUAAGAGUAGAUGAAGUGACCUGUGAAGUAAUGAAGUGUUGAAGUGAAAGCGAAAGUGAAAGAAACAGAAAGUGAAAUGCCACAUUGGACCUAUAUUAUAUACCUAUAUAUUAGAUGAUAGAUAGAUGGAUAUAUGGAUGAGCUUCUGCAGUUUUAGCAUAUAACGGACAGACAGUCUUAUGAUGCCACACUGACUAGCUCUGGCAGUGGCGGUUCUGGCAGGAGGGAGUGGGCUGGUGUUAACAUUCUGCAAGCAUCCGUUUGUCCGAGAAAGGAAUAAUCUAAAGAUUGAAAAUUCAGAGCUGCAAGUUCUUGGUGGGACAUGUUAUGUACACAGAUUGCUGUGUGGUCCCGAUUUGUUUAAAUAAGAUUCAGAAUAAAUCACUGUGUCUAUGGCUCGACAGGGGAAAGGACAAACCCAAUCGCCCUAGGAAAGACAUUUGUCAUCGUUUAUCUGAUGUCCUUCAUAAUUAUUCCAUUACAUAACACCAUCUAAUCACAGUUCCCUCAUCUCAUCCCACACUGUGCAGGUUUCCCAACUCAAAGUUGAACCAUCCUUAUGCCUGUAACAUUUCUGAUGUGAUGCAGCCCAGAUUAUGCAAUGGUCUGCCUAAGGUCUGCCUAAGGUCUGCUGACCAAACAGCUCAAAUUGGUUUAUUUAAAUGCCAUUGUGUUUAACCUCACUGUGUUCCUAUGUCCCUUACUGUAGAAGCCAAGUUGGAAGAAUAGUUAUAUGAAAUAAACUCUGUCCUUGGUGCUUCUUGGGUUGAACAAAGAGAGCUUUGUCCUCCUUAGGUGUGGAUGAAACAGUAGCUGGCAGAAUUCAUUACAGAUUAGUUAGCACAAACAUGGUGUAAUCCCCUUAUCUGCAUACUUACCUGUCCCUGACAGUGAUCCAAGCUCCUGUCUUUGAGACUCAUUGGCUUGACACUCUGACGGGAGCAAAUCCCUGUUUAAUGUGUCAGCCAGGACAGGUCUUUACACCCGGAGCACCACUCAGUCUGCUGGAGCACUGACAUUAUACCACUACUGCUUAAAAAAAAGUCUAAUAUUCACACAGAAUACUAUAGUAAUGCAUGCCAUAUGGUGUGCAAGCAUAUGAACAUUAAAGGCUUUUUUCCAUUCUGUACCAAAAACGCAUGCAGUAGUGUUUCUCUAAAAGGUGAUUAUUUCUUCAAAAAUGAAGAAUUUGCUUAGAUGCAGGUUAUUUUGUACAUUAAAAGGGAAAACAUUUUCUUUUAAAAGUUAAACGUUUUUGAACUACUGAAUGUAAGAACGGUUAAGUCGGUUAAAUAACACUGUUUCAAUUAUAUUAGAUCUAGUAGUGUAAAGAAGUGGUUGUACUUACAUCUGUUUAAAUAACGCAAAAAAUCGUAUGCAAAUCUAACCUUGACUUGACUGUGUUUUACUCGUGGAAAGAGUAAAAUAAAUUAAAUCGUUGUUGGGUUGUUUUUAAAGUCGCCAUUUUUCCUUUGGCCAGUGGAACAGGUUUAGAGCUGCUAGUGCUACCCUCUGGUGGCGUUUUGCGAUCACGACAAGAAUAACGCAACAAUUUAAAUUUGUGCACAUGAAAACUAAUCAGUAUUACAACGUAAAUAUUUUUCGAAAAAGAAAUCCUACGCGUGACGAAUAAAUUAUAUUCUUUUUCACGAAUGAGAAAACGGCGUGUGGAGAGUGACGUCACACGGGUCGAUCCCAUCAUGCAUUGCGCUAUGUGAAGUAUAAAACGAACUAAAUAUAAGAUAUAAUGCCAACCAGUCAAUGUUAUUUUUGGAUUUUGAGUGGUUAAUGUUUUGAAGUAUUCAGCGUACAUUGUGUUCUGAUGUAGACGUUGCACCGUGACUGAAAUCUAUAUAGGCUAGAUAGACAACCGCUGUUCGGCCGUUACAGAGUCAGCUUUGCGCAGUGGCAGUAUCGUAGCCUAUGAGGUUUAUCCGAGGCGCGAUUAUUGCUAGUUGAAAACUUUACCCAAUACCCCGCCUUGACGACUCUCUGAGUCGGCAAUGGCAAUUUUUGACGGUCUCUACGGAGACUGAUCUCUUUGUCAAAUAUAAUACUAUAAAAAUACAAGUAGGAAGGAUCAGCAGUAAACGUUAGUAAAUUACGUCAUUUCCGGUGCAAGGUGCUCACAUCACAAUAAUGAUUUACUUGUUUAACGAUAAGUAUGCAGAUCUUUCCAAAUUUAUUAGUGUUAAUCAUGACUGCAUCGUAAUGUAUAAGACUGCGCACAUCACAUUAACGUGAUUUUUUUUUACAACAUACAUACAGUUAUGUAAAUAGGAGCGAUGUCUAUCCGUAUCUAUUACGUCGCUGUCCAUGUUACUGCGGAGUACUACAUUUUGACCUUAUAGAUUCAACUCCUUGCUUCGUGUGUUUUUCCUUGAUAGUAAAAUCGAACUCUGGACAAAAGUGAUUUCAGUGUAGUUGGACGAGCACACUGACGGACGAGGUACUACGUAAUAUCCGAUUCAGCACAGCACAAGAACAAAAGCAUGGAAUGUAUACCCGACGCUUGAGAAUGGACGCUUUUAAACUAUAUCUUAAUACACUAUUAUUUGUUCAUUAUAACAAUUUUAAUUUACACGGGGAUAUUAAUCGAUCGAUUAAAAAACAUUGGCUUUUGAAAGAGACGCGGCUGAUAUCCGUGUCCAGGAAACCAGGGGCAGCUGACAUACACGUAAUUUCCGGGUUUAAACAAUGUAAAUAAAAACCCGUAAUAGUCAAAAGUGUGUCUUUUUAACAAUUCAUUACAGCGUUUUGCAUAUUGUAUACGUAUAAAAUCUGUCACAACUGAAAUUAGCUGUUUAGAAUACUGCAGACUGGAAAUACAUACAAGUGAUAAACAUUUUUUCGAGCAAUGUUCAAAGUCUGCAAGCAUUGUCAUCUUGGACAUACUCUAUACAUAAACAGACU
Molecule: long non-coding RNA, 13081 nt
Organism: Cynoglossus semilaevis (tongue sole)
Lineage: Eukaryota; Metazoa; Chordata; Actinopteri; Pleuronectiformes; Cynoglossidae
Exons: 2
Source: RefSeq, a predicted model, not a curated record